RNAcentral lists this long non-coding RNA (700 nucleotides) under Capsicum annuum. RNAcentral describes it as "long non-coding RNA (CANN_LNC014877)". The record is from RNAcentral. Lineage: Eukaryota; Viridiplantae; Streptophyta; Magnoliopsida; Solanales; Solanaceae.
UUUGAACGCUUCUUGGUCUCAAUCAUAGUGUUGUUUCCAGUAUCGAAUUUUUGUUUCUGUAUACCGAGUGAGGGAUUUCAUCGCUGUUGAGGUUUUUUAUUCGGGCUUUUGAUUUGGGCUUUCUUAACGUUAUUAUCAACAAAAGUCGAUAUCAAGGUCCAUUUCUUUAACCUGUUCUCUUAUUUAUUUUUGAUUGGUUGCAUUGACUAUGAUUAUGUGUUUGGAUGACUUUGAUAGUCUGAUUUCGUUGAUAUUACUAUGUGGUUUGAAUUUGUUACUAAAAUGAGCAUGGAUUGUUGAAAUGGUUUGUUAAUCAUGGAAUUUGAUACAAGAAAGAAAUUUGGGGUGGAAUUAAAAGUUUAUAAAAGUUGUAUAGUUAAAUUUUGGUCGGUUGUUAUUUUGCUCAAUUCGGGAUAAACAUGAAUGUGAUCGAGCUCAGAUAGGUAAACGUAGGUCGGGUAGGCAAAUUUAGGGAUUGUGGAUUGAUGAAAUAUUUGAGUUAUGUGAUUGAAUGAUUUUUAGCUAUAUUGCGUUGGGAUCAUUUGUAUAAUUUGGUUGGGGAAUGCCCCGAAUUACAUUGUAUUUAUUCACAGGGGAAUGCCCCGACGUACUAUGUUGGCGGAAGACGUUCGUGAGGAAGGCCCGAGGCAUCGGGUAAAGCAUGGGAGCGUAGUUAGUAUUAGUGUAGGUUAGGUAGGAU